This 271-nucleotide ribosomal RNA is filed under the name uncultured bacterium. Its description in RNAcentral is "partial 16S ribosomal RNA". It matches the Rfam family "Bacterial small subunit ribosomal RNA", at positions 524 to 794 of the family's 1533-position model. The record is from RNAcentral.
UACGGAGGUUGCAAGCGUUGUUCGGAAUGACUGGGCGUAAAGGGAGCGCAGGCGGCUUGUUAAGUCUGGAGUGAAAGCCCGGGGCUCAACCCCGGCGGGUCUUCGGAUACUGGCAAGCUAGAGUACGGAAGAGGAAAGCGGAAUUCCAGGUGUAGCGGUGAAAUGCGUAGAUAUCUGGAGGAACACCGGUGGCGAAAGCGGCUUUCUGGUCCGAUACUGACGCUCAUGCUCGAAAGCGUGGGGAGCAAACGGGAUUAGAUACCCGUGUAGU